RNAcentral lists this ribosomal RNA (253 nucleotides) under uncultured bacterium. Its description in RNAcentral is "partial 16S ribosomal RNA". It matches the Rfam family "Bacterial small subunit ribosomal RNA", at positions 524 to 776 of the family's 1533-position model. The record is from RNAcentral.
UACAGAGGUCCCAAGCGUUGUUCGGAUUCACUGGGCGUAAAGGGUGCGUAGGCGGUUUUAUAAGUCUGAUGUGAAAUCCCGCAGCUUAACUGCGGAACUGCAUUGGAAACUAUUUGACUAGAGGAGUGGAGGGGAGGCUGGAAUACUUGGUGUAGCAGUGAAAUGCGUAGAUAUGAAGUGGAACACCAGUGGCGAAGGCGAGUCUCUGGACAAUUCCUGACGCUGAGGCACGAAAGCGAGGGGAGCAAACGGG